This is a long non-coding RNA of Manis javanica (Malayan pangolin), 751 nucleotides long. RefSeq lists it as uncharacterized. Lineage: Eukaryota; Metazoa; Chordata; Mammalia; Pholidota; Manidae. The record is from RefSeq and is a predicted model, not a curated record.
AGUACUUCUAUGUAUGUUUUUUUCUCUGGUCAAUAGCACAGGGAUCUUCCCAUUCUGACAGUCAGCUUGUGGCCUCUCUAUCAUGCCUAGCUGAUUAUUAGAAUGUUGCUGGCCCAGCAGAUUACAGGAUAUAAAUAGGUGCAUUUGUUGUCUGACCAGUUAUUUUCCUGGAAUCAGACACAUUUACGCCCGCUAAAGACCAAGGCUUCUCUGCUUCUUGGCUCAGAUUUGGAAGGAAGGAGUAUUGAGGCCCCAAGAACUCACGAGAUGGCUUCCCCACACUUCUAUGGCACGGCACCGCUUUCCAGGUCUCUACCGUCGCUUCCUUGCAUUCCCCUUCCUCAGGCAAGACUUAAAUGGCAUGACUUCAUCAAGAAUGCUUUUGAAAGAGCUGUAAGUGCACGGGUGAGUAACAACUUUUCCUUAUAAAAAGCAAAGCAGACUUCUAUUUCCCUUCAAAAAAAAAUUGGAAGGAAAGAUUAAAAUCUAAAAACCACUUCCAUUAAAGUAAUCUGUGGCAAAUCUUAUAUUCUUCCCCUUACUACUACUACUACUAAAAGCAAAUCCAUUCUGUAGUAAGAUUCCAGUUUUGAGAAAUGGCUUUUUAUAAGGUAAAUACAACAAUGUCACUUUAUUUUUACCUCCCCAUCAAUGAAAACCAUUUUUUAAAACUGCCUGCUCAUUUCUGAUACAUAGAGUGGAAUAAAAUCAGAGAUCCUGUACAUGCCAAUCAAGUAUUAGCGAUUAUGAC